GUUCUCUCGAGAGCCGUCCCGGAGAGCACCUCACAACGCCGGUCAGCUCCGCUGCCCGACAGGGGGGAGGAGGCGAGGUACUGCUAAUUGCCGAGCGCCCACAAAGCGCUGCCUUACCCACCGCAGCCGCUAGAGAUUUCUUAUCGGCGCGCUUGCUGGCUCGGUGGUCGCGGUGCGAAAGCGCUGAGGCUGCACAGCCGGAGCUCCGUGCACGACGAGCACCCGCCGCCCUGCAGCAGGGUUCGGCACCCGCCCGCCGCGCAGCCACAAUCUGGCAGCCGCCGGCCCGCGCUCCCCGCACGCAGCUCCCUAUUUGGCAGCGCCCGGCACUGACCUCCCCGGCGGCGGCGGCGGCGGCUCCUCCAUGGCGGCGGCGGCAGGGAGCAGUGCGGCGACGUCUCUCAUGCAUGCACCGAGGCCGCCAUGGCGGCGGAUCGCAGUGCGCGGCCCGACCCGGCCCGCUACGGCGCCGGAGGUGCAGCGGCGGAGGAGGGGACGGGGGUGGGAGCUCUACCCGGCUGCAGGGACCCGGCCGCCAAGAGCCGCCCGCGCGGCCGCCAUCUUGGAAUCAGCCUCACAGGGCAGCGAAGCCGGGAGCAUCGCUACGGCGCGCGAGGAGGGACUCGCCGAGCCACAGGCGCUCUCUGCGCCGCGGCCGGAUGGGUGCGGAGGAGGCAGCGCUCCCCGCCCGGGACGCGCGCUGCUCUCCGUCCCCCUGCCGCCCGCCCUCUGGCCGGAGGCGGGCGGUGGGAGCGGGGCGUUGUCGUCUGCGAGACCGGGGGGCGGCGGAGGGGGUGCUGCCCGAGGUUCGCGACCCGGCCCCGGACGGGAGGGCGGCGGCGCGGGGCGCCGGGAGGACUCGAUUCGUGCGGCAGCUGAUGAGCCAGCCGGUUUACGCGGGUUGUUUGGGGUGCCGGGAGAUGCAGGGAGCUGCCGUGCCGGCGCUUGUCGGCCUCCCGGCGGGAUGAGUAACCCCGGGUUGUCCCACGACAGCCUGCCGUGAGGUGGCUCUCACCAAGGCACGGGGGGGGAUGCAGCCCUGCCUCACGCUGCAGUAUUAUGCACGUUGUUUCUUCGGGUUUUUGAGGAAACCACGUUGAUCAGCGUGCUCGCUUGUUCCCUGUUGGUUAUCUCAGAGCUACCGUUCGUCAGGUGGUUUACAGAACUGUUCCUGACACCUGCAAUCCACUGUGAGCGAGCGGCAUGGACGUUAGCAUCCAGGGACAGAGGGAAAGUCAAAGUUAGUGAUUACUGCGAGGAAGGCUGCAGGAUUUACCUGAGUAUUUACCAUCUCUGGGUGCUUGGGUGAUGACCUACGCGUGCAGAGGUUGGAGCCACCCAAAUAGUUCAAAGCCAUCUGGAAGGCUGGAGGCCCUGCAAUGACUUCUGUUCUCACAGAAGAACAGUCAUGAGAGAGCAGUUAUAUGCACGGGGGGGAGGGGUGUGGGGGAAAGCUGGCUUCAUGCUCCUGGAACAGCUUGUUUCAUUUUAGAAACAUUCUAAAGCCUACAGCAGUGCUGUUUAUCGGCUUAAAACAAAGACCUGAAGCCACAUGAUCCAUUUGGAAAUAUAGGGAGGAAAAAUGUAAUUUCCUGAACUACAUCUAUAACUUGGCUGAAAUAUGGGCUAACGCCCUUCAAAUGCAGAGAAAUGCAACAGGCUGGUUAAAUAUUCCAGUUGGUGAGAGCCUCAUCUUUUAUAUUUUAUAGGACCAGAGGAAGAGCAGCAAACCCUGGCACUGGCUCAUAAUUGUCCAAAGAUCUUCAAAAUAAUGGUUUCCAGAUUCAGGCUUCCUCCAAGAAAAAGAUUUGCCCUAAUUUGUACAAAGAGCAUCUAACAAUUUCAGAUCUCAUUCAUGUCCUCUCAUUCCCAAGGAAAAAAUAAAAUAAAAAGAUGGAUUGUUUUCCCUCUUUUUUUUUUCCUACAAGAAUUAAAAAAAAAAGAAGAAAAAGAAAGAAAAGUGACUUUGAAUUAGUUUGAGUGAAGAACACGUGAGAAAAAAACAUCAUUCACUGAGAUAACUAUGCACACAUCUGUAACCCAGUUGAAGGGCAGCGCAGUCACCGCUUCGCAGUCACAUACUGAAGCUAAGGGAAGAGCAGACUGCCAAGGAAAUACCUAUUCCUAAUGCAUCUGCCAAAGGAACGUUCAGUAAUACAAUCUGAGGCAGCAGUGUUAAUUAACAAGAAUUAUAUGUUUAUACUGGUUUUGUUUAAAGCACAAAGAUAAAGUUCCUGUUACGUUUAUGGAUGUAGUGUUAGUCUUACCUAUAUAUGACAGUGUUGUCACUGAUACAUCAUGGCAGCAUUCUACGUGAGACCAAAAAAAAAAACCCCAAAAAUCCAAAGAGAAAGCUUUUUAAGUGAUAUCACCAAUUUUAACUAAUUCUUAUUUUAAAACAUUAUGUAUCCCAAACAUAACUUGUAACCGUGUUCUGUUUUUCUUAGCACUGCACAUGCUUUUGCAAUUGUUUGGGUUUUUUUAAGAUGAUUGAUAUUGUCACCUUUGGGUGGAUCUCACUGUGACUGUGAGGAUAAAACAGACUUUGUUUUUUUUUAAGAGUAGCUGCACUUUAAACAGAUUCAGAUCCAUAGCUGUUGCUUGCUACUAUAGUGAUAAUCAGAAAUAGAAACAAAGGUGACAAAGUUUUCUUAGUUCUUGUUUUUAACCAAGGAAAAUAGAAUUAAAGUGUGUUGAUGGAGAACGGGGUGUCUCUUGAAGCUGAGGAUCUGUCAUUGCUCAGAUCUUCCUCUCUUACAGGCUGAGUGUUGUUACAUGUUUUUAACCCUGUUUCUGAUGUUUAUCCAUAUUUUGAAGUCUAGAUUUCUUCCUUCUUAACCUAGGCAGAGACAGUAGUCAAUUAGCCCUGCAACUUAGGCUGGACAUUAAGACACUAAUAUAAAGCAUCCUGAACUCACUUGGAAGACUCCAGCUUUCUAACUGUUCAUGGACAUUUUGCAAAGCUAGGAAAAACUGCUUAUCUGGAGAUUCAGCAAACAGAUUUAAAUUGGGUGAGCACACAUUAUUCUUUUGGUAGUUCUGGAGAGGGACUGCUGACGAGCUUGCUUGUUCACCUGUUGGAAGCAUUCAGUCUAGGUCAGUUACAAAACUUUAUCACACAUUGUGUAACUGCAACAUGCCUGCAUGAGAUCAUAGAAUUAUUUAUCUUCUAACUAGCUCUUCAGAUGGACACUAACACUUUAGAUGGACCUUUGAGCCAUAGCCCAUUUGGAGUGGAUCCAUCAGUGACCCAUCAAGAACAUUAAUGGCAUGGAGCAUCUGACAUCUGAGGAGAAGCUGAGAGACAUGUAAUGUUCAGCCUGGAGGACAGAAGGCUCUGGAAGGAUCUUACCAAAGUGAACAAAUACUUGAUGUCUGGGAGUGAUGCCCAGUGAAAAGGACAAGAGGCAAUGGGCACAGACUGGAACACGGGAAAUUCUGUUCAAACAUGAGAAAAACUUUCCUUGCCACUAGGUUGGCUGAGCAACAGCACAGGUUGCUUAGAGAGGUUACGGAGUUUCCAUCCUUGGAGAUAUACAAAACUCCACUAAUUGUGGCCCUAAACAACAUGCUCCAGCUGACCCCUGUUUCGAGGAGGGGGCUGGGGUAAGAUGAUUUUCAGAGGUACUCAUCCACAUCAGCCAUUUUGUGAUUCAGUGAUCCAACUGAUCUCAUAAAUGCUUUUCAAUUACAAGUAAACUCCAAUACACUGUAAAAUAAAACUAUUUACAAGCACACAGCACCACAAAACUUUUGUUAUCAUUUACAGUUCUCUCACAAAUUAUGUGUUUUGUUGGUUUGUUGUUGUUCUUUGCUUUUUAAAUUAUGGAUCUUAAAUAGAAAGCAGCUGAAGAUACAAAUUAAAUUACUCUUAAAUAAAUAUAUCAUCAUUCACACUGCUGUUAAGUAGCCACUUCUUCUGCAUAUUAAAUAGUAACUUCUUGUCAGAAGAAGGUGCAUAAAGACUGUUUACACAAGAUAUAAGGACAGCUUUGUUGGAAAACCUUUUUCUCCUCCUUUACAAAGUUGUGUAGUUUCCUACUGAUGAAGUUUUACAGUCAGGCUGACCAUCCUGCCUUUUCUGUAUUUUAUGCCUGAGCUGUUAGUAAGCUGUUUUAAGAAACUCUUACAGAAAAAUUAACAUCAACCAUGUAUUUUGCUUUCAUAAUUCAAUUAAUGAAAAAAACUUGAUAUUCAAAUUUCAUAAAUAAUAAAUAUUGCAUUUUACAUGUCCACUAAAUCAAGUCUGU
Molecule: long non-coding RNA, 4250 nt
Filed under: Gallus gallus (chicken)
Lineage: Eukaryota; Metazoa; Chordata; Aves; Galliformes; Phasianidae
Source: RNAcentral